This 203-nucleotide non-coding RNA is filed under the name Cronobacter sp. RNAcentral's name for it is "FMN sequence". It matches the Rfam family "FMN riboswitch aptamer (RFN element)". Rfam says of the family: The RFN element is a highly conserved domain that is found frequently in the 5'-untranslated regions of prokaryotic mRNAs that encode for flavin mononucleotide (FMN) biosynthesis and transport proteins. This element is a metabolite-dependent riboswitch that directly binds FMN in the absence of proteins. The record is from RNAcentral. Lineage: Bacteria; Pseudomonadati; Pseudomonadota; Gammaproteobacteria; Enterobacterales; Enterobacteriaceae.
GCUUAUUCUCAGGGCGGGGCGAAAUUCCCCACCGGCGGUAAAUCAGUUUUUCUGUCCAUACUCUUUUUCGCGUUGCGGCAAAGCGGCGUGAAAGACGAAGGACAAACUGAAAGCCCGCGAGCGCUUCAGAUUAUCUCUGAAGGUCAGCAGAUCCGGUGAAAUUCCGGGGCCGACGGUUAAAGUCCGGAUGGGAGAGAGUAACG